UACGGGGGGGGCAAGCGUUGUUCGGAAUUACUGGGCGUAAAGGGCUCGUAGGCGGCCAACUAAGUCGGAUGUGAAAUCCCCAGGCUUAACCUGGGAAUUGCAUCCGAUACUGGAUGGCUUGAAUCCGGGAGAGGGAUGCGGAAUUCCAGGUGUAGCGGUGAAAUGCGUAGAUAUCUGGAGGAACACCGGUGGCGAAGGCGGCAUCCUGGACCGGUAUUGACGCUGAGGCGCGAAAGCUAGGGGAGCAAACGGG
Molecule: ribosomal RNA, 253 nt
Filed under: uncultured bacterium
Lineage: Bacteria
Description: partial 16S ribosomal RNA
Rfam family: Bacterial small subunit ribosomal RNA
Source: RNAcentral